RNAcentral lists this long non-coding RNA (921 nucleotides) under Solanum tuberosum (potato). RNAcentral describes it as "long non-coding RNA (STUB_LNC004374)". Lineage: Eukaryota; Viridiplantae; Streptophyta; Magnoliopsida; Solanales; Solanaceae. The record is from RNAcentral.
AAGUGAAAUAAAAUAUACUUAUAUGAUUUUAAGAAAGAUAUGAUUGAUUCGUCUUUUGGGGAAUUGAACUAGGGAAAAAACCUUAAAAUUAACUAGCAAAUAAACAAUUAAGCGAAUACGAAAACAGAUAAAAUAGGGAGAGAGAGUUUAGGCCUUUGACCCAUUUGCACCUGUCUUAAGAUCUAACAAGAUAAUAACAAGUAAAAUGACAAGGGCUUAGUCCCAAAAUAACAAAAUACAAUUUAUUUAAAAAUGACAAGGGCUUAGUCCCAAAAUAACAAAAUACAAUCCUAAAGUAAAGGGGACCAUUUUCCCACUUUUCGUAUACACUAGAUGUAUACUAGUGUAUACAAUCCCAUAUGUCUGCUCCGAAGACCUGUACGCCGAAUUCAUGGAAUUGCUCUUCAAUUCUAUUGGAUGGCCGACUCAAUAAAAGACUUGAGCAUUAACGAAUCUCUCGAAAUGCGGGGAAAAAGGAGUUCAUGAUGAACUCGGGCAAAUUUCGCAUGCAACAAAGAAAAAUAAGAAAUACAUUAGUAAAAUUCUCUCCAAAGAUGGUUAACAUCAAUUUAAAACACAUAACCCAAAUAAUGAUUUAACAUAAUGACACAUGUAAAUAUUAUAUGAGUUAUGCUCACAUUUUUUCCAAUCCCAACAAAGCUUUGGCAAACAUUUAAUAACUUAGAUAAAUGUCUUCAAGAGGGUCAACAAUUUAACUAAGUCAUGGCAAAAGUUAAGGACCAAAGCCACAUUAAUCAGAACAUCUCAAGUGAAAAAAGAAAAUGAUGCAGUUCAAAUUACUAUGCAUAUGAAACACUCAAACUCGUUCCUUACUAAAUAGAGGCAACAAUUGCAAUUACUUAAGAGAAAACUACUAUCAUUUACAACUACUCUACGGCAUAACAAGGAAACAAGAUAACC